UACGUAGGGUGCAAGCGUUAAUCGGAAUUACUGGGCGUAAAGCGUGCGCAGGCGGUUUUGUAAGCCAGAUGUGAAAGUCCCGGGCUCAACCUGGGAACUGCGUUUGUGACUGUCAGACUAGAGUGUAGCAGAGGGGGUAGAAUUCCACGUGUAGCAGUGAAAUGCGUAGAUAUGUGGAGGAAUACCAAUGGCGAAGGCAGCCCCCUCGGGUUAACGACUGACGCUCAUGCACGAAAGCGUGGGGAG
This 246-nucleotide ribosomal RNA is filed under the name uncultured bacterium. Its description in RNAcentral is "partial 16S ribosomal RNA". It matches the Rfam family "Bacterial small subunit ribosomal RNA", at positions 524 to 768 of the family's 1533-position model. The record is from RNAcentral.